GGUUGUGGCUUAGUGGCAGAGCGCUUGCCUAGCAUGUGUGAGGCACUGGGUUUGAUUCUCAGCAUCA
This 67-nucleotide transfer RNA is filed under the name Marmota monax (woodchuck). RNAcentral describes it as "tRNA.Ala". Lineage: Eukaryota; Metazoa; Chordata; Mammalia; Rodentia; Sciuridae. The record is from RNAcentral.